This is a ribosomal RNA of Lupinus angustifolius (narrow-leaved blue lupine), 2561 nucleotides long. It matches the Rfam family "Eukaryotic large subunit ribosomal RNA". NCBI's taxonomy places the organism in Eukaryota, Viridiplantae, Streptophyta, Magnoliopsida, Fabales, Fabaceae. The record is from Rfam.
GAACCUCAGGCCAAGCAGGUCUACCCGUUGAGUUUAAGCAUAUCAAUAAGUAGAGGAAAAGAAACUAAAAAGGAUUCAAAGUAACGGCGACCAAACUAGGAAAAGUCCACCAUGAGAAUUGGUCGCCUUCGGUGUCCGAAUAGUAGUCUUGAGAAGCAUCCUCAGUGGCAGACCAGGCCCAAGUCCCCUCGAAGGGGGCGCUAGAGAGGUUGAGAGCCUCGUCGUCCCUGGACCCUGUUGCACUAUGAGGCGCUGUCGGUGAGUCUAGUUGUUUGGGAUUGCAACCCCAAUUGGGCGGUAAAUUCUGUCCAAGGCUAAAUACUGGCGAGAGACCGAUAUCGAACAAGUACCGCGAGGGAAAGAUGAAAAAGGCUUUGAAAAGAGAGUCAAAGAGUUAUUGAAAUUGUCGGGAGGGAAGCAGAUGAGGGCCUGUGAUGUGCCUCGGUUGGAUGCGAAAUGGCGAGAGUUGGUCCACCAGUUGACUUGGGGCAUGGACCGACGAGAAUUAUGAUGGUGGCCCAAGCUCAGGAUGUUGACAUGAUCGCGGAGACGUUAUCAUCUCGAUUACAGUUGGAAGCGCACAACGUUUGAUAUGCUUCGGCACCGUCGUGCUCCAGGCGUCGGCCUGAGGGCUCCCCAAUUCGGCCCUUCUUGAAACACGAACCACGGAGUCUGACAUGUGUGUGAGUCAGUGGGCAAGUAAACUUGUAAGACGCGAGGAAGUUGAUUGAUGGGAUGCCCUUGUGGGUUGCACUACCAACCGACCUUGAUCUUCUAUGAAAGGUUCGAGUGAGAGCAUAUCUGUUGGGACCCGAAAGAUGGUGAACUCUGCCUGAGCGGGGCGAAGCCAGAGGAAAACUCAUGCGCAAAUUGUUCGUCUGACUUGGGUAUGGGGCAAAAGACUAAUCGAAUCGUCUUGUGAACAACACUUGGAAAUGGAUUAGUCGAUCCUAAGGGAUGGGGGAAGCCUGUAUGAUAGCGCUCUAAGUGUGCACUCCGAAAGGGAAUCAGGUUAAAAUUCCUAAACCGGGAUGUGGCGGCUGACGACAACGUUAGGGAGUCUGGAGACGUCGGCAGAGGCCACGGAAAGAGUUAUUUUUUUUGUUUAAUAGCAUGACCACCCAGGAAAUGUCUCAGCCGGAUGUAUGGUCUAGCGGCUGGAAGAGCACCGCACGUUGCAUGGUGUCUAGUGCGCCCCCGACAGCCCUUGAAAAUUCGGAGGACCGAGUGCCUCCCGUGCCCGGUUGUACUCAUAACCACAUCAGGUCUCCAAGGUGAAUAGCCUCUGGUUGAUGGAACAAUGUAGGCUAGGGAAGUCGGAAAAAUGGAUCUGUAACCUCGGGAAAAGGAUUGGCUCUAAGGGCUCGACACGUGGGUCUCAGUCCUUAACCCGUCAAUUAUCGGUGGACUGCUUCGAGCUAAUUAAUGAAUGGAUUAACGAGAUCUAAUUAAAUACCUCGUCAUCUAAUUAGUGACACACAUGAAUGGAUUAAUGAGAUUCCCACUAUCCUUGUCUAUUAUCAGCGAAACCACAGCCAAGGGAACGGGAUUGGCAGAAUCAGCAGGGAACGAAGACCAUAUUGAGCUUGACUGUAGUCCGACUUUGUGAAAUGACUUGUGAGGUGUAGGAUAAGUGAGAGCUAGAAACAACAAAAGUGAAAUACCACUACUCUUAACGUUAUUUUACUUAUUCCGUGAAUCAGAGGCAGGGCACAAUCCCUGUUUUUGGACCUAAGGUCGGCCUCGGUCGGUCGAUCUGGGCGGAAGAUAUUGUCAGGUGGGGAGUUUGGCUGGGGCGGCACAUAUGUUAAAAGAUAACGCAGGUGUCCUAAGAUGAGCUCAACGAGAAUAGAAAUCUCGUGCGGAACAAAAAGGUAAAAGCUCGUUUGAUUCUGAUAUCCAGUACGAAUACAAACCAUGAAAGCAUGGCCUAUCGAUGCUUUAGUCCAUCGGAAUUUGAAGCUAGAGGUGUCAGAAAUGUUACCACGGGGAUAACUGGCUUGUGGCAGCCAAGCGUUCAUAUCGACGUUGCUUUUUUAUCCUUCGAUAUCGACUCUUCCUUUCAUUGUGAAGCCGAAUUCACCAAGUGUUGGAUUGUUCACCCACCAAUAAGGAACGUGGGUUGGGUUUAGAUUAUUGUGAGACAGGUUAGUUUUACUCUACUUAUGACAAUUUGCAAUAGUAAUUCAACCUAGUAAGAGAGGAAUCAUUGAUUCACUCAAUUGGUCAUCGCGCAUGGUUGAAAAGCUAGUGGCACGAAGCUAUCGUGUGUUGGAUUAUGACUGAAUGCCUCUAAGUUAGAUUCUGGGCUAGAAGCGAUGUGUGUUCCCGUUGCCUGUUUGCCGACUAGUAGUAGGGGGCCUUGACCUCUAGAGGGACGUGCCGUUGGUGAGCCCCGUAGGGUGGAUGAGCCUCGCGGGACGCCUUGAAGCUCUAUUCGCCAUUAGGCGGCAGGUAGAAUCCUUUGCAUACGAUUUAAAUAGGCGACAGGGUAUUGUAAGUGGUAGAAUGGCCUUGUGAUGAUGAUCCAUUGAGAUUCAGCCCUUGUCGCUUCGAUUCAU